CCAAAUAGCAAAAUAAGGAAUGCAUAGGACAUGAUGCGAACAAAAUAAAGUAUUUACAGCUUUCAUGCGCCUGGUUAAUGACUUUCCUCUGGAAUUACAAACAGGGGAUGAACACGUUUGAAAUUUUGUUCUCGUUCCAGUGCAGCGUGCCUCAACGGUCUAGAGUGGAGGGUGCCUCAACGGUACAAUGGAGCGGAGCGUGCUUCAACGGUCUAGAGCAGAGCGUGCCUCAACGGUACAGUGGAGCGGAGCGUGCCUCAACGGUUGAGAUGAGACAAAAUCAACGACGAUCGUUAAUUCUAGGAGAGGAACAGUGAGGAGAACUACACAGUGGCUGAUUGGAGUUUUGGCGAGGAAAAUACUGAAAUUGCUCUGGCCUUCGCAAGUAGUUCCACAAUUGUUCUGAGUUGUCCAUUUUGCUGACCUAUACUAUCCUCCUCAACAGUGUUCAGCUCGUGCUUUCAGGAGUAGCGGUUGGCCCAGGAUGGCAAUCUUUUGUUGCUUACAUCAGUAUUGGCAGCUACUAUGUGAUGCUUGGGUGGGUGUUUAAUCAGGGAAGUUUGGUGAGUGCUACUUCUUUCGAUAGAAUAGGUUAAUAUGAAAAUGUCAUGGAAAUUCUAUUCAUUAAUAAGAAAAUCAUGUGGAACUUUGUGUCUUGAAGAUCAUAUUGUAAAGGAAUAUAUACUUUUGCAAGCCAA
Molecule: long non-coding RNA, 698 nt
Organism: Cryptomeria japonica (Japanese cedar)
Lineage: Eukaryota; Viridiplantae; Streptophyta; Pinopsida; Cupressales; Cupressaceae
Exons: 4
Source: RefSeq, a predicted model, not a curated record